This 244-nucleotide ribosomal RNA is filed under the name uncultured bacterium. RNAcentral describes it as "partial 16S ribosomal RNA". It matches the Rfam family "Bacterial small subunit ribosomal RNA", at positions 1257 to 1500 of the family's 1533-position model. The record is from RNAcentral.
GCGAGGCAGAGCAAACCCCUAAAAAGCCAUCCCAGUUCGGAUUGCAGGCUGCAACCCGCCUGUAUGAAGUUGGAAUCGCUAGUAAUCGCGGAUCAGCAUGCCGCGGUGAAUACGUUCCCGGGCCUUGUACACACCGCCCGUCACACCAUGAGAGUCGGGAACACCCGAAGUCCGUAGCCUAACCGCAAGGAGGGCGCGGCCGAAGGUGGGUUCGAUAAUUGGGGUGAAGUCGUAACAAGGUACC